AGAAAAUAAAUAAUUUCUGCUGUAAGCUUCUAUACAAAGUCAACGGAAUUUUGGAGCUCUCUAUAUAUGAAAGGGCUAGUUGAUCAUACUAAAUUUUUAUCACCAGAUUUUUUUUAAACAAAGCCUUACAAAUUUAAUAGCCAUUUGUUAUUAGCAAGUACCAUCGCGAUGGGUCAUCUCUUAUCCUGUUACAAGCGUCGCAAGAAGAGUGAGGUGACGUCAUCUCCGCCGAAGAAUAAAAAAGUCAAAAAGGGUAAACUAAAGACGGUGCGCACGAAAGAUCAUGAAGAUCUUGUUGUCCUGGCACGAAAUAUGGAGAUCAUGUCGAGAAAGAGAAAUAAGACAAAUAAGACCUCCAGAGGCAGUUGUUGGGGCGGAGGAGAUGGACGUGGUGGUUACGUUUACGGCGGAGGUUGGGGAGGUGGGUGUGGAGGUGGCGGCUGUUAAAAAUUAAAAAUUAGGGUUCUGUAUAAUUAUUGUAAUGCUAUGUAUGAUUUCUUGUGCGUGUGAUUUCUUUUGUAUGAUUUCUUGUGCGUGUGAUUUCUUUUGUACAUGUAAGAUUUCAGGUGUGAUGUACUGAUGUGUAAUAUACACCAAAAACUGUAUGUGAACAUUAAAUUUAUUGCAAUUUUUACUCAAAACCUUUAUCUAUAUGG
Molecule: long non-coding RNA, 656 nt
Filed under: Eutrema salsugineum
Lineage: Eukaryota; Viridiplantae; Streptophyta; Magnoliopsida; Brassicales; Brassicaceae
Description: long non-coding RNA (ESAL_LNC000277)
Source: RNAcentral